UACGUAGGGACCGAGCGUUGUCCGGAAUCAUUGGGCGUAAAGAGCGUGUAGGCGGCUACUUAAGUCCUGCGUGAAAUCUUGCGGCUCAACCGCAAGCGGUCGUGGGAAACUGGGUGGCUAGAGUGCGGGAGAGGAGAGUGGAAUUCCUGGUGUAGCGGUGGAAUGCGCAGAUAUCAGGAAGAACACCCGUGGCGAAGGCGGCUCUCUGGAACGCAACUGACGCUGAGACGCGAAAGCGUGGGGAGCAAACAGG
Molecule: ribosomal RNA, 253 nt
Filed under: uncultured bacterium
Lineage: Bacteria
Description: partial 16S ribosomal RNA
Rfam family: Bacterial small subunit ribosomal RNA
Source: RNAcentral